CAGCAGCCGCGGGAAUACGUAGGGUGCGAGCGUUAAUCGGAAUUACUGGGCGCAAAGCGUGCGCAGGCGGUUAUAUAAGACAGAUGUGAAAUCCCCGGGCUCAACCUGGGACCUGCAUUUGUGACUGUAUAGCUAGAGUACGGUAGAGGGGGAUGGAAUUCCGCGUGUAGCAGUGAAAUGCGUAGAUAUGCGGAGGAACACCGAUGGCGAAGGCAAUCCCCUGGACCUGUACUGACGCUCAUGCACGAAAGCGUGGGGAGCAAACAGGAUUAGAUACCCGAGUAGUCCCUGUCUCUUAUAC
Molecule: ribosomal RNA, 301 nt
Filed under: uncultured bacterium
Lineage: Bacteria
Description: partial 16S ribosomal RNA
Rfam family: Bacterial small subunit ribosomal RNA
Source: RNAcentral